Molecule: ribosomal RNA, 427 nt
Filed under: uncultured bacterium
Lineage: Bacteria
Description: bacterial SSU rRNA
Rfam family: Bacterial small subunit ribosomal RNA
Source: RNAcentral
UGGGGAAUAUUGGACAAUGGGCGAAAGCCUGAUCCAGCCAUGCCGCGUGUGUGAAGAAGGUCUUCGGAUUGUAAAGCACUUUAAGUUGGGAGGAAGGGCUGCAAGUUAAUACCUUGUAGUUUUGACGUUACCAACAGAAUAAGCACCGGCUAACUUCGUGCCAGCAGCCGCGGUAAUACGAAGGGUGCAAGCGUUAAUCGGAAUUACUGGGCGUAAAGCGCGCGUAGGUGGUUUGGUAAGAUGGAUGUGAAAUCCCCGGGCUCAACCUGGGAACUGCAUCCAUAACUGCCUGACUAGAGUACGGUAGAGGGUGGUGGAAUUUCCUGUGUAGCGGUGAAAUGCGUAGAUAUAGGAAGGAACACCAGUGGCGAAGGCGACCACCUGGACUGAAACUGACACUGAGGUGCGAAAGCGUGGGGAGCAAACA